Mastomys coucha (southern multimammate mouse) is the source of this 281-nucleotide long non-coding RNA. RefSeq lists it as uncharacterized. The record is from RefSeq and is a predicted model, not a curated record. Lineage: Eukaryota; Metazoa; Chordata; Mammalia; Rodentia; Muridae. The transcript has 4 exons.
GAAGAAUUUUUUUCUGAUACCCAGAAGACUCGGGUUACAUUGAGAUAAUUUUCUCCAUCCAUUAUCUUCCUCAAGAUGGAAUAGCACAUAUGCGGAAAGUGUUCUCCUUGAAACACAUGUUUGCCUCCACAUUCCUGCCUUGAAGCCUUGAAUUUCUGCUCCAACUUCCAUCAGUGACAGACUGUUUCCUGGACAUGAUGGCCAUGAAAGGAGUAAAGAACAUUUGCUCUGCCAAAGUAUGCAGACUUGCUGACAUAUGCUGAAAUACAGAUGUCAUCUGA